Oreochromis aureus is the source of this 2086-nucleotide RNA transcript. It is a transcript of the gene named adenylate kinase 8, with no coding region annotated. The transcript is spliced from 15 exons. NCBI's taxonomy places the organism in Eukaryota, Metazoa, Chordata, Actinopteri, Cichliformes, Cichlidae. The record is from RefSeq and is a predicted model, not a curated record.
UGUUUCUAAAUGUAUUCUCUUAUUAAUAUUUGACACCAUGAAUAUGACAUUUAUUACUAAUCUUUGUUUUAUAUUAUUUUUAUAUGUAAUUUGGGGGUGAUUAUCCGGAAGGGGUAUUUUAAUCUGAAUGUUUGACACUAGGGAAAACUAACCUGAUGUUUUCCUCACUGACGUAUUUUCUCCAGGUUCUGGCUCAGGUGUAAAAAUGCGCCAAACGUGCGGAAAUGAGACUUUUCUGACGUCAGUCGGGUCCCGAUCGAUCGUCCUUAGAUAACCGUUCAAGAAACGUCCCCUCGUGAACGCUGCACCGUUUGCCCUGCACGCGCAGUGAUGACGUCGUUCCCUAGCAACCGGCCAACGCGUCGUAGCGACCGUCCCUGAGAGCGAAGCGGCGGGAAGGGUUUUGGUGUUGUCGUUAUUUUCGGUUUUAACGUCGUUUUUGUGCCAAAGUUCGGAUUUUACCGGAUACGUCUGAGCACGAGACGUUUGUUAAUGUUUCCCGCCCUUCAGCAGCCAACAGAAAAUUCCCGGGAAACGGUGAGAGGUGUUUGGACAGGGCCUUCCUGAUGGAUGAGACGGUGAGGCCUCUGAGGAUUCCUCCUCAGAUGUUCGUCUAUGCCGACAAACACAACGUUUCCCAGCUGGUGCAGAGCAUGCUGUGCAGUCUGGUGAUCGAUCAGCCUGAUGAUCCGAUCUGCUACCUGAUUGGGCUGCUGCAGAGGAGCAGCGAUGAUGUCCCCAGGGUCAUUGUGCUGGGACCUCCUGCUGUCGGCAAACACACUGUGGCCAAAAAGCUGAGCGCCGACCUGAGAGCUGUUCACGUGACCGAAGACAGUUUACUGCAGUACCGAUCAGAGCUGAGCGUGCACGCCGAGCAGGAGCUUUCGGAGGAGGUGCUGGUUGGACUGGUUCAGCAGAGGCUGAAGGAGAUGGACUGCUUCCACCGGGGCUGGGUGUUGGAGGGAAUCCCUCAGACUCGCCUGCAGGCUCUGAGUCUGCAGGCGGGCGGAGUCAUCCCCGAGCACGUUGUGAUGCUCGAGGCGCCGGAUGACGUGCUGAUGGAGAGAAGUUGCGGACGGCUGGUCGACGCGAUCACUGGGGACGUCUACCAUCGGACUUUCAUCCUGCCAGAUGAUGACAUUAUCACUAAGCGUCUGGAGAAGGGGAGGAGUCUGACAGACCAACAGAGACUUGCUAAGCUGCACCGUUACCGCUGUGAGGUCACGGGUCUGAGAUCAGCCUAUCAGCACAUGCUCAAGGUCAUUGACAGCGACCAACCACACGCCGACGUCUACCUGCAAGUGCUGGCUUUCGUCCGGACUCGUCAGCGCUCCAGAACUCCCAGAAUCCUCCUGCUGGGACCACCGGGGUCUGGAAAAAGCCGUCAAGCCCAGCUGCUGUCAGAGAAGUACAGGAUGGUUGACGUGAGCUGCGGUCGCUUGCUGAGGUCUGUAGCUGCAGCUGGUUCCACUCGAGGAGCAGAGGUCCAGGCAUACCUGGAUGAUGGACGUCCAGUUCCAGACUCGCUGCUGCUGCAGGUCCUGGAGGACCGGCUGAGCCGACCCGACUGCACCCACGGGGGCUGGAUCCUCCACGGCUUCCCCUGCGACCUGCAGCAGGCCCGGAGCCUGCAGGAAAGCCACCAGCAGCCCAACAGGGUUUUCUUCCUGGAGCUGACCGAUGACGUUUGCCUGGAGAGACUCAGUCUGAGAGCCACAGACCCGGUCAGCGGUCAGAGGGAGAACAUGUCUGCAUCAGCCUGUCAGCCCUGUGAUGUAACACACACAGCUUCCAUCAUGUGACUCGGCCGGCUCCGAGCUCUGAGGUUCAGCACAGACUAAAGACCCGACCCGAGGACAGCAUGGAGUCUGUAACACAGAGACUGAAACAGUACAGGGUCCACAGCGCCGCCCUGCAGUCUGUGUAUCCUGAGGCCAUUCACAUCGAUGCUGAUCAGGACCCUCACUCUGUGUUUGAGGCCGUGGCGAGCAGGCUGACCUCUGAGUGACCUCUGACUCACCUGGACUCAACUGAACAAGCUGUGGUCACAUAAUUGUCUGUAAAAAUAAAGCAUGUACUGCUCCUC